AGGGGGGGUUUGAUCAUGGCUCAGAUUGAACGCUGGCGGCAUGCUUUACACAUGCAAGUCGAACGGCAGCACGGGGGCAACCCUGGUGGCGAGUGGCGAACGGGUGAGGAAUGCACCGGAACGUAUCUUCAAGUGGGGGAUAACGCAUCGAAAGGUGUGCUAAUACCGCAUAAUCUCUGAGGAGAAAAGCAGGGGAUCGCAAGACCUUGCGCUUUUGGAGCGGCCGAUGCCUGAUUAGCUUGUUGGUGAGGUAAAAGCUCACCAAGGCUCCGAUCAGUAGCUGGUCUGAGAGGACGACCAGCCACACUGGGACUGAGACACGGCCCAGACUCCUACGGGAGGCAGCAGUGGGGAAUUUUGGACAAUGGGGGCAACCCUGAUCCAGCCAUGCCGCGUGAGUGAAGAAGGCCUUCGGGUUGUAAAGCUCUUUCAGCCGGAACGAAACGGUCACGGUUAAUACCCGUGACUACUGACGGUACCGGAAGAAGAAGCACCGGCUAACUACGUGCCAGCAGCCGCGGUAAUACGUAGGGUGCGAGCGUUAAUCGGAAUUACUGGGCGUAAAGCGUGCGCAGGCGGUUUUGUAAGUCAGAUGUGAAAUCCCCGGGCUUAACCUGGGAACUGCGUUUGAAACUGCAAGGCUAGAGUGUGGCAGAGGGGGUGGAAUUCCGCGUGUAGCAGUGAAAUGCGUAGAGAUGUGGAGGAACACCAAUGGCGAAGCAGCCCCUGGGUCAACACUGACGCUCAG
This 748-nucleotide ribosomal RNA is filed under the name uncultured bacterium. Its description in RNAcentral is "bacterial SSU rRNA". It matches the Rfam family "Bacterial small subunit ribosomal RNA", at positions 1 to 750 of the family's 1533-position model. The record is from RNAcentral.